UCACGGUUUAAAAGUUAUAGAGUCAUACAUUUUUCC
This 36-nucleotide small RNA is filed under the name Arabidopsis thaliana (thale cress). RNAcentral describes it as "ATSL163280". Lineage: Eukaryota; Viridiplantae; Streptophyta; Magnoliopsida; Brassicales; Brassicaceae. The record is from RNAcentral.